CGACGGCGGCGCGUGCGGCGUCUCUGGUCGGAAUUGGAGGUCGAGGUUUUGGGGAUUUGACAGGUAGUGAGGUGCUAGUUCCUCUCAUGGUGGUAAUUUCUCUCAAUUACGGCCCGAGAUUAAAGGACGAAGAACCCAGACUUGUUGGCUCCGGCAAUGACGCGUGCUUCGGUUUUUCCGGCGUCGGCUCGUGAUCAAACUUCUGGGUUUUGUUCUCCGUUGCUUGUUGAGUGCAACGGUGAUGGCGGUGUGGUGAGGAGAUGACGGAAAACCGGUGAAGGUCGUGGAACAGUGGCGUCGCGGUUUUGGAGGUCAUGUGCGGCGACCGGAGCCUUAAUCGGCGAUGCGGUGGCUGGGAUUUGGUCGGGUUUCUGUUGUGGUUCAAUUGGUGGUGACGGUGACGAGAGAUGGUGGCCGGAAUUGAUGUUUUCCGGUGAUUGCAGAGGGAAGAGAGGAAGGAGAGAGGUCGGGGAAAAAGAGGUAGUGUGGCGCGCCCG
This 497-nucleotide long non-coding RNA is filed under the name Rosa chinensis. RNAcentral describes it as "sRNA RchiOBHm_Chr2g0112081". Lineage: Eukaryota; Viridiplantae; Streptophyta; Magnoliopsida; Rosales; Rosaceae. The record is from RNAcentral.